This 492-nucleotide ribosomal RNA is filed under the name uncultured bacterium. RNAcentral describes it as "partial 16S ribosomal RNA". It matches the Rfam family "Bacterial small subunit ribosomal RNA", at positions 29 to 507 of the family's 1533-position model. The record is from RNAcentral.
AGUGAACGCUGGCGGUAGGCCUAACACAUGCGAGUCGAACGGCAGCACAGUAAGAGCUUGCUCUUACGGGUGGCGAGUGGCGGACGGGUGAGGAAUACAUCGGAAUCUACUUUUUCGUGGGGGAUAACGUAGGGAAACUUACGCUAAUACCGCAUACGACCUACGGGUGAAAGCAGGGGAUCUUCGGACCUUGCGCGAUUGAAUGAGCCGAUGUCGGAUUAGCUAGUUGGCGGGGUAAAGGCCCACCAAGGCGACGAGCCGUAGCUGGUCUGAGAGGAUGAUCAGCCACACUGGAACUGAGACACGGUCCAGACUCCUACGGGAGGCAGCAGUGGGGAAUAUUGGACAAUGGGCGCAAGCCUGAUCCAGCCAUACCGCGUGGGUGAAGAAGGCCUUCGGGUUGUAAAGCCCUUUUGUUGGGAAAGAAAAGCAGCAGGUUAAUACCCCGCUGUUCUGACGGUACCCAAAGAAUAAGCACCGGCUAACUUCGUG